RNAcentral lists this ribosomal RNA (469 nucleotides) under uncultured bacterium. RNAcentral's name for it is "partial 16S ribosomal RNA". It matches the Rfam family "Bacterial small subunit ribosomal RNA", at positions 28 to 507 of the family's 1533-position model. The record is from RNAcentral.
GACGAACGCUGGCGGCGUGCUUAACACAUGCAAGUCGAACGGUGAAGCGAGUGCUUGCACUCGUGGAUCAGUGGCGAACGGGUGAGUAACGCGUGAGUAACCUGCCCAUCACUCUGGGAUAAGCACUGGAAACGGUGUCUAAUACUGGAUACGACCAACCCUUGCAUGGGGUGUUGGUGGAAAGAUUUAUCGGUGAUGGAUGGACUCGCGGCCUAUCAGCUUGUUGGCGGGGUAAUGGCCCACCAAGGCGACGACGGGUAGCCGGCCUGAGAGGGUGACCGGCCACACUGGGACUGAGACACGGCCCAGACUCCUACGGGAGGCAGCAGUGGGGUAUAUUGCACAAUGGGCGAAAGCCUGAUGCAGCGACGCCGCGUGAGGGAUGACGGCCUUCGGGUUGUAAACCUCUUUCAGCAGGGAAGAAGCGAAAGUGACGGUACCUGCAGAAGAAGCACCGGCUAACUACGUG